RNAcentral lists this unclassified non-coding RNA (335 nucleotides) under soil metagenome. RNAcentral's name for it is "partial contains 5.8S ribosomal RNA, internal transcribed spacer 2, and large subunit ribosomal RNA". The stretch from base 1 to 119 matches the Rfam family "5.8S ribosomal RNA", at positions 36 to 154 of the family's 154-position model. The record is from RNAcentral.
AUGAAGAACGUAGCGAAAUGCGAUAAGUAAUGUGAAUUGCAGAAUUCAGUGAAUCAUCGAAUCUUUGAACGCACAUUGCGCCCGCCAGUAUUCUGGCGGGCAUGCCUGUUCGAGCGUCAUUUCAACCAUCAAGCCCCCGGCUUGUGUUGGGGACCUGCGGCUGCCGCAGGCCCUGAAAACCAGUGGCGGGCUCGCUGUCACACCGAGCGUAGUAGAUUUUCAUCUCGCUCAGGGCGUGCUGCGGGUUCCGGCCGUAAAAAGCCUUAUUUACCCAAGGUUGACCUCGGAUCAGGUAGGAAGACCCGCUGAACUUAAGCAUAUCAAUAAGCGGAGGA